This 68-nucleotide transfer RNA is filed under the name Xenodermichthys copei (bluntnose smooth-head). RNAcentral describes it as "tRNA-Ala". It matches the Rfam family "tRNA". From Rfam's summary of the family: Transfer RNA (tRNA) molecules are approximately 80 nucleotides in length. Lineage: Eukaryota; Metazoa; Chordata; Actinopteri; Alepocephaliformes; Alepocephalidae. The record is from RNAcentral.
AAGGCUUUAGCUUAAUUAAGUGUCUGGGUUGCAUUCAGAGGAUGCAGGAUAAAGUCCUGCAAGUCUUA